GUUCCGGGCCGAGUUCCUCGUGCCGACGUGUCUUGUAAGGUGCGGCUAGAAACUGGGGACAUGGCAGCGCCUGGCCCAGCGCUCUGCCUCUUCGACGUGGAUGGGACCCUCACCGCCCCGCGGCAGAAAAUUACCAAAGAAAUGGAUGACUUCCUACAAAAAUUGAGGCAGAAGAUCAAAAUCGGAGUGGUAGGCGGAUCGGACUUUGAGAAAGUGCAGGAGCAACUGGGAAAUGAUGUGGUUGAAAAAUACGAUUAUGUGUUUCCAGAAAAUGGCUUGGUAGCAUACAAAGAUGGGAAACUCUUGUGUAAACAGAAUAUUCAAAGUCAUCUGGGUGAGGCCCUAAUCCAAGAUUUAAUCAACUACUGUCUGAGCUACAUUGCAAAAAUUAAACUCCCGAAGAAGAGGGGUACUUUCAUUGAAUUCCGAAAUGGGAUGUUAAACGUGUCCCCUAUUGGAAGAAGCUGCAGCCAAGAAGAACGCAUUGAGUUCUACGAACUCGAUAAAAAAGAAAAUAUAAGACAAAAGUUUGUAGCAGAUCUACGGAAAGAGUUUGCUGGAAAAGGCCUCACGUUUUCCAUAGGAGGCCAGAUCAGCUUUGAUGUCUUUCCUGAUGGAUGGGACAAGAGAUAUUGUCUGCGACAUGUGGAAAAUGACGGUUAUAAGACCAUUUAUUUCUUUGGAGACAAAACCAUGCCAAUUCUGGAACGGAACCCCAGCCCUUCCAGGUCUGAGAGCCACUCUUUCUUUGCUCUGGAUUUCUGUCACGUCAGGGUCCCCUCCCUCUGCGGAGUUGUAUGUUGCUGUUCCUGAUGCAUAGACUCCUCCCCCGCUGCUUUUCUGCCCACUGGGUCAGGAUCUGCCAUUCUUUACAAGUUUCCUUAACGUAUUGCGUCAAAGCGAGACAACUGAGUCUUACUCAAACUUGUUUUAACCGGAGAUGGAGCGUCGCUGCUGUGUCACCGCCUGCACAGGGCUGCCCUCAGGCCAGCUUCCUGGGGCUUACUCCGAGGGCAUCGGCUUGCCCCGCACUGUGGUGGGAUGUAAAGUGAUAACAGCUAAACGACGCCUGCACAACGUGUCCUGGUGCCUUCUGCGUGACCCCGGAGCAGCAGGUUCUGCACGUGGCAGGUAAGAGCACAGCUGCCAAGACUCCAAGCCUAGUUCUGCUGCUACAAGCUGCUGCGUGACUUAAGGUGAGUUCAUCUUCGCCUCAGUUUCUUCCUCUGUCAAAUGGGAUAGUCCUUACCGUGUAUGGAAUUUAAAGCACUUUGAACAGUGAGUGUGAGCCAUUACUAACUCAAGUAAUACCCCUUCCCAACCCAGAACCCUAUAAGGCAGGGACAGUCAGUCCCUCUCUCUGCUUUAGGGGGUUGCAGGAUAAAGACACCAUCACAAGAAAUUCAAACACAGUAGGUAAAUUUUGAGCCACAGCAAAGCACAGAGGUUGCAUCCAGGCCAGCUUAGCACUGUUGAAAGUCACCAUCCCCAGCACUGCAGAAGCUGACCCUGAACUCAAGGUCACCCAGGGCUUAAGCCUCAGAGAAAAGGCCUGGGUUGAACCUGAGCAGCAGGUGAGUGCAGGGCAGGCCUCUGGCUCCCUGGAGGGAGAGGCUAGCCAGGAAGUUGAGCUUGAACCUGACCCCGAGGGAGAGGUGUGGGGCAUACUCAUGAUCUGUCCGGGAAGGUCUCUCCAGCUACUGGAAGGGGAGUGCCCACAGGGGCCAGGAGAAGGCAGUUGGGUAGAUGUUGCCGUAGUCCGGACACAUCCAGGCAUACGUGGUUUUGAAUCACUUCCUCUCCAAGGGCUGCUGCUUCCUCUCCACCCCUCCCAAGUGUUCUGGCUCUGGGCCCCGGCUGGCCACCUCAGCCCAGGCAGGCUCCUCCAACCUGAAUGACAGGCAACCUCUACGCUGCCCGCCACGGCACCCCAAAGUCAAGACGUAGAACUCAUUCCACCUCCUUCACCCGAGGCUGCUUUCCCAAACGUCUUCCCAGUCCCAUCUUCAGUUUUGUUUUUUUUGUUGUUGCUAUUGUUUUUGAGACGAGUCACUGUUGUCGCCCAGCCUGGAGUGCAAUGGCACGAUCUCAGCUCGCUGCAACCUCCGCCUCCCCAGUUCAAGCAAUUCUACUGCCUCAGCCUCCCGAGUAGCUGAGAUUACAGGCCCCCGCCACCAUGCCCAGCUAAUUUUUGUCUUUUUAGUAGAGACGGGGUUUCACCAUGUUGGCCAGGCUGGUCUCGAACUCCUGACCUCAGGAGAUCCACCUGCCUUGGCCUCUCAAAGUACUGGGAUUACAGGCAUGGGCAUGAGUCACCAUGCCCGGCCUUUUUUUUUGUUUUUGAGACAGAGUCUCACUCUGUUAUCCAGGCUGGGGUGCAGUGGCACAAUCUUGGCUCGCUGCAACCUCUGCCUCCAGGUUCAAGCGAUUUUCCUGCCUCAGCCUCCCAAGUAACUGGGAUUACAGGUAUGCACCACCACGCGCAGCUAAUUUUUGUAUUUUUAGUAGAAACGGGGUUUCACUAUUUUGCCUAGGCUGGUCUUGAACUCCUGACCUCAAGUGAUCUGCCCACCUCGGUUACCAAAGUGCUGAGAUUACAGGCGUGAGCUACCACGCCCGCUCCCCACCUUCAGCUUUUGCCAAACCCUUCCUUGGCUACCCAUGUAGUACUCCAUAUAGUAAGUCAGCAAAUGUCAUUGUUUUGAGCUAAGUGCCUACGUUAGGCUCUCCCUAAACAGGUUUGAUGGGCUGGUUUUUUCCCAAUAUGCUUUGGAAAUCAUUGUAUAAUACUGACAAGAAAAGUGUCCAUCUCUGCACCACCCAAAAUCACUGCCUCCCUUGGGAGACACCGGCCAGAGCAAAGCCUUCCCAACAGAGCACAGCGACCCCAUAGAGUGGCCCCUGCCGUCACUGUUCUCCUGGAAACCAAGAACAGGAGUUCUCACACCUGCCCACCUUCUGCCCUCACUCCCACUGCUGCAACAGCAAACCCUUCCUCCCCUGCUAUGGACCUUGAAAAGCUCUCCGUCCUAGGACUCUCUGCCAGCCCCGGGCCCUCAAGCCUCAUCUGCUUCCAGCCCCUGACUUCAUGCCUGAAGAGCAGCAAGCUUUUUUUUUUUUUUUUUUUUUUUUUUGAGACUGGGUGUCGCUGUCACCCAGGCUGGAGUGCAGUGGUGUAUUCACAGCUCAUUGCAGCCUUGACUUCCUGGGCUCCAGCAAUCCUCCCACUUCAGCCUCUGGAGUAACUGGGACCACAGGCUCAUGCCACCAUGCCCAGCUAAUUGUAUUUUUUUUUUGGUAGAGACCAGGUUUCGCCAUGAUGCCCAGCUGGUCUCAAACCCCUGAGCUCAAGCCAUCCACCUACCUCGGCCUCUCAAAAUGCUGGGAUUACAGGCGUGAGCCACCAUGCCCAGUCCUAGCAAACGUUCAUCAAAUGUCUAUAGCAGUGGCCGGGUGCUGUGGCUCACACCUCUGGUCCCAGCACUGUGGGAGGCUGAGGCAGGAGGAUGGUCUGAGUAUAGGAGUUCGAGACCAACUUGGGCAAUGUAGCAAGUUGAUCUCUACAAAAAAUUUAACAAUUAGCCAGGCAUGGUGGCAUAUGCCUCUAGUCCCAGCUACUCAGGUGGCUGAAGGAGGAUCACUUGAUCCCACGAGGUUAAGGCUGCAGGGCAACAAAGCGAGACCUUGUCUCAAAAACACAAACAAAAAACACCUCUAUAGCAGGAAUGAGCCAGGGACUGUGGACAGUGUGCCCCGAGGCCCGUCCUCUCUUCCCACAGCUGAUGGGGAUGAGGUGUAACUCACACAUCCUAAAAGCUUCAACAGGGCACUGGAGUGCCGCUGACCAAGUUACUGGCAUUUUCUAUUGCCAGGAAGCCGCAUUCUCCUCCCUGCUAAGCUUUCUCAUGCUAGAGAAUGAUGACUAAAAAAUAGAUGAUCCCAUCCUCUUAUUCACCAUCCCCUAAAAAAACAGAGUGCCACGUGGAAUGUGUCAGCCUCACCUGGGGGAGACACCCUUAUCUGAAGACUUAAAAGGAAAAACUUGGUGAGCCAGCCUCCACACAAACACACACAUAGCCUUGCACAAAACAAAAA
Molecule: RNA transcript, 4095 nt
Organism: Pan troglodytes (chimpanzee)
Lineage: Eukaryota; Metazoa; Chordata; Mammalia; Primates; Hominidae
Gene: PMM2
Gene name: phosphomannomutase 2
Exons: 9
Source: RefSeq, a predicted model, not a curated record